CUGUCCAUCCAGCUCUCAUUCUCAUUUCCAAAGAGCCCUCUUUCCGUUGCCACUGCUGUCCGCAAUUUGUGGCACCGCAUCCCUUGCUAAAUUAAAAUAAUUGGAGGGAAAUGCAAAAAGCAGCCCGCAAAUGGGCCUGAGAGGUGGCUAAAAGCCUCUUGCCUCGGAUCGGCAGAGCCUCCUCCUCGAAUGAGGCUCCCUGUAAUGGAUGCUCUUUCCUCCCUUUUCUCUCUGCCUCCGUUCUAUUACAGGAAAGACCUGCAGGUAGUUUGGAGAAAGGGCAUCUGGUGAUUAUCAUGCAUUUGUCUGCGACAUGAAGAGCCGUGUCUGGGAUUCGGCCGCCGAGCUGUAAUGCCGGCAAACAAUUUCACGGGAAAAUCAGGCAGCGGAAAGGAGGGAAAUGCGGCCUUCGAGGCCAAAGGCAAGCUACUCCAGCUCUCUGCCAUGCGUGCCAAACAAAAUGGAGAAGGGAGCAAAGCAGAUACAAAGCACAGAAGGCCACGGAGGUACGGUACUCAUUUUGCAAAGCAAGGAUAAGACCCUGGAUCUUCUGCAGAGGAUCAAGUCUAGUCAAAGGAGUCAACCUUCUCAUUUAUGCGGCAGGAUUCAUGUGGUUGCCAUCCCAGAUUCACAUUCCCCUUGGUAAACGCCAACAGUCGAUGUACAGGCAUUUCCUUGCAGAGUAUAUGGUGAAAUAAAGACAAGCUGAUCCAUCUACCCAGAAAACUGAUGGUGAACUUCUCACCUUAAAAGUUGAACCUUUUUUGUUUAUUUCAGUAAGUAGAGUGCCUGAAUAUACCUUGUUGUAAUCUUUUUGUAAACUUUCUUUACAAAUUGCUGGUUUGCAAGUUUAUAUUUAUGAUGUAUAUUAUUUGUAGACCCAACCGCCUGACAAAGACUCCUGUGAGUCGAAACCGGUUGCAGGUUUCAGUCAAGUUAUAUGGAAACUGGAGUCUACUCAUAUACAAUAAAGAACAGGACAUUUACUCACAUGAAAAACUUGUCCUUAUACUUCAAGAGAAGGAUCACUGAUUUCUACUUAUAUACGAUUGGGACAGUCCUGUUUGUUUUGGAUAUACAUUGAGUUUAUGUGAUUUUUUUUGUAUACACAUUGAGUUCGUUUGAUUAUUUUCAUAUCACCACAAGCAAUGGAUUUUGGUCUUCAUAGUUUAUGGGAACCCAUUGUCCUUUUAAAUGACUGCAUGGAGCGCUGUUACCUUCCUACCAGAGUAGUACCUAUUGAUCUACCUACAUAUUGGUGGCUGCCAAUAUGCUACCGAGCCCAAUUCAAAGUGCUGGUUUUGGCCUACAAAGCCCUAAACGGUUCCGGUCCAACUUACCUAUCCGAACGUAUCUCCUCCUAUGAGCCCAUGAGAACUUUAAGAUCAUCUGGGGAGGCCCUGCUCUCAGUCCCACCUGCCUCACAAGUGCGGCUGGUGGGAACGAGGGACAGAGCCUUCUCGGUGGUGGCUCCUCGGCUGUGGAACUCCCUCCCCAGUGACAUCCGGCAGGCUCCAUCCCUUCUGAGUUUCAGAAAAAAGGUAAAGACCUGGCUUUGCGAACAAGCGUUUAAUGAAUGAAUUAUGAUGGCUUUAACUCGGUCCGGACUAAGGUUUACGUGCAAGGUUUAUGUGGACGAAUGGAUUAAGUAUUUUAUUAUACUGUUUUAAAUGUAUUUAUUGGAUUGUUUUAAAUUGAUUGUUUUAAUUGCUAUGUUUUAUUUUUCUACUGUAUUGUGAGCCACCCUGAGUCCCUUCGGGUGAGAAGGGCGGCAUAUAAAUGAUGGAAAUAAAUAAAUAAAUAAAUAAAUACAUAAAUA
Molecule: long non-coding RNA, 1819 nt
Organism: Anolis carolinensis (green anole)
Lineage: Eukaryota; Metazoa; Chordata; Lepidosauria; Squamata; Anolidae
Exons: 3
Source: RefSeq, a predicted model, not a curated record